Long non-coding RNA from Pristis pectinata (smalltooth sawfish), 368 nucleotides. RefSeq lists it as uncharacterized. The transcript is spliced from 3 exons. Lineage: Eukaryota; Metazoa; Chordata; Chondrichthyes; Rhinopristiformes; Pristidae. The record is from RefSeq and is a predicted model, not a curated record.
GCGAGGAGACACGGGGUUCGUAUCGUAAAGGAUACAACGCACUUCGGAUAGGGAAGCUGCAUUUGGAACAUCGAAGGAGAACACGGUAAAAAAAAGUCAAAGGUCGAAUUGUAGCCCUUUAGCGGAGUGGCUGAACCAGUGGUUGGCAUUACAGACCGAAGAAAGCGCUCUAUAAAACCGAGAGAGAGCUGCGUAAACACCCAUCUCUCAUUGACCAUCUCUCAAAGCUCACGGAAAGAAAAUUAAUGCAACCAGAUACACGGAAAACGGGUCAUAUUUUUCCCGGUGUGAAAUCUGGAGUGCGGAAAACAGGAAAGUACGAGUUUGAUGGAUUCUUUUUCUGGCUGAAAAAUUUCCUGAAAUCACAG